Molecule: long non-coding RNA, 916 nt
Organism: Cyprinus carpio (common carp)
Lineage: Eukaryota; Metazoa; Chordata; Actinopteri; Cypriniformes; Cyprinidae
Source: RefSeq, a predicted model, not a curated record
GCGCCACUGCCGCUGAAUCUAGAUGGGAUGUUUGAGGGGCGUUCGCGUAUGUAAUAAAUGAGGAGUUUGGGAGCCUGUCCAGGUUUGUGCUGGUACCAGGACACACAGUUCCUCCAGAGACUACAGUCAGCAACAGAUGUCAGAGGAGACUGAGGGCUGAAGAAAGUGAGCAGAAUGGGUUAUUCAGCUGCAAUAAAAUUCCUCAAGUAAUGCUGGGAGACAGGAGAGCUGUAUGUCUGCAGAGUAACACAUGACAAGAUCUCAUAAACCAGGCAAUCCUGAUGCUUCCCAGUAGGUCUUGCUCUCUCCUGGGAAUGAAGCCAUAUCUGAGUCCCCUAUGACAGGUUUACCGCAGUCAGUCAACAAUCUACACCUUCUCACAGAGCUUCAACACACUAAAGACCAGACCUGAAUUCCCAGGUUCAAGGCUGUUUCUGGCUUUGUUAAUGCCAUAUAGGUGGACUGUUUCCCUUGUGUCUCCUUAACAGGCAACAACCUAGUUUUGGCAGGAAACGGCCCUGUCUGGGGUGAAAAUCUUCAUUAAAAUCUUCUAAUCUGCACAAUCUUCCACAGCUGGUGCGCUUCUUGCAUUGGCAUUUCGCUUGACAUCUAAAACUUACAGAACUGCAGCUCUGAGCAGUUAAUGCUGAUCACCAAAUCGCCUCUUUGUCUUUGUAGCUGUACUUUAGACAUUAAAAUAAGUGAGGAAUAUCGAUUACGCUGUCGCUCGUGUGAAGGGGGACAGGUCCUUUCCUGACUAAUUUGUAGGAAAAUGCACCUUGUGGCUCCUCCCUUGACACAGUGUUUAUUCAGCAGAAAUAAUUGGUAAUAGCUGAAAGGUAACGUGAGCAGAAUGAUCAUAUUUCUGCCUGUGCUGGAAACGUCUCAUGCAUUUUUAUGCAGUACAUAAUCACCA